This 209-nucleotide ribosomal RNA is filed under the name uncultured bacterium. RNAcentral describes it as "partial 16S ribosomal RNA". It matches the Rfam family "Bacterial small subunit ribosomal RNA", at positions 1284 to 1500 of the family's 1533-position model. The record is from RNAcentral.
UGUCUCAGUUCGGAUUGGAGUCUGCAACCCGACUCCAUGAAGCUGGAUUCGCUAGUAAUCGCGCAUCAGCCACGGCGCGGUGAAUACGUUCCCGGGCCUUGUACACACCGCCCGUCAAGCCAUGGAAGCCGGGAGUGCCUGAAGUACGCGACCGCAAGGAGCGUCCUAAGGUAAAACCGGUGACUGGGGCUAAGUCGUAACAAGGUAAC